This 622-nucleotide ribosomal RNA is filed under the name uncultured eukaryote. RNAcentral describes it as "bacterial SSU rRNA". It matches the Rfam family "Eukaryotic small subunit ribosomal RNA", at positions 22 to 549 of the family's 1831-position model. The record is from RNAcentral.
CAGUCAUAUGCUUCGUUCAAGGGCUAGGCCAUGCAUGUCUCAAAGCAAUCGGCUUGACAAAGGAUCUGUGAAUGGCUCCUUACAACAGCAGUCAUCUAUGUGAUAAAGUGGGGUUGGCACCACCUGCCAGGUGCCCAGUUGGACAUCCUCCAAAACCUUGUGGCUAAUACACGUCUGAAACAGUCGGCCAUGCCAUGGGUGUCAGUGGGCUCACCCCUGCUGUCACCCAGGGGUGGAUUGCACCCAGUUGAUAGGAAAACCAGUGCCCCACAAGGGCAGCGUGCUGUUCAGUUGACUCAAACUGGAUCCUCUGGAUCGGUUUUGCUGGCAAAGGGGGGGCCUCGGCCACAAACAUGCUUGAUCACAAAAACUUCUGACCUAUCACCUUGAACUGUGGUGUAGGGAACCACAGUGGCGGUGACGGGUGACAAAAAAUCAGGUUCAAUUCUGGAGAGGGAGCCUGAAAAACGGCUACCACUACCAAGGUGGGCAGCAGGCGCGCAAAUUACCCAAUGCAAAAACAUCCUUGUGAGGUAGCAACAAACCGCAGCAAUCCUGCCAGCCUUCUUUGCUGGUGGGACUUGAAAUGAAUGCAAUCCAAACACAGUGAUGAGUAUCAACU